AACAUGUCUGUAUAUUAUUUAGUAUAGUGAUGUUCUAACUGUGAUGUCUUAUAGUUUUUAACCCUGUAGGUACUGGUAUUAACCAUGAUAUCUGACUGUUGUUAACCCUGUAGGUACUGGUAUUAACCAUGAUAUCUGACUGUUAUUAACCCUGUAGAAACUGGUAUUAACCAUGAUAUCUGACUGUUUUUAACCCUGUAGGAACUGGUAUUAACCAUGAUAUCUGACUGUUAUUAACCCUGUAGGUACUGGUAUUAACCAUGAUAUCUGACUGUUGUUAACCCUGUAGGUACUGGUAUUAACCAUGAUAUCUGACUGUUGUUAACCCUGUAGGUACUGGUAUUAACCAUGAUAUCUGACUGUUGUUAACCCUGUAGGUACUGGUAUUAACCAUGAUAUCUGACUGUUGUUAACCCUGUAGGUGCUGGUAUUAACCAUGAUAUCUGACUGUUUUUAACCCUGUAGGAACUGGUAUUAACCAUGAUAUCUGACUGUGUUUAA
This is a long non-coding RNA of Oncorhynchus keta (chum salmon), 501 nucleotides long. RefSeq lists it as uncharacterized. Lineage: Eukaryota; Metazoa; Chordata; Actinopteri; Salmoniformes; Salmonidae. The transcript is spliced from 3 exons. The record is from RefSeq and is a predicted model, not a curated record.